This is a long non-coding RNA of Arabidopsis lyrata subsp. lyrata, 1722 nucleotides long. RefSeq lists it as uncharacterized. The record is from RefSeq and is a predicted model, not a curated record. NCBI's taxonomy places the organism in Eukaryota, Viridiplantae, Streptophyta, Magnoliopsida, Brassicales, Brassicaceae. The transcript is spliced from 11 exons.
CUUACUCUCUCAUCUUACUUCUACAAUCUAGAUUCACUUACACAAGCAAUCCACUCCAUCAUUAGACUCCAACCACUCUUAACUGUUCAGACCUAACACCCUCUUCUAACUUAGUACUUAGCUCAGACAACAACACACUCUUUCUUUUCAUUUGGGCCUUAGUUUAUUCGGAGCCCAUUACUAAAAACAACCCUAAGCCCAUAAUCUUUUUGUUGACUUUUCUUCUUCUUCUUUGACUCCCUUCUUCUUCGACGCUUUUCUUCUUCUUCAACCAAGUUUCUUCUUCUUCUUCUCCUCACUGUAAUUCUUUUGAUUCUUAAUCAUCUUCUCUUUCUCAAUUGCAGGUUCAAUCGGAGACUCAACCUUCAACACUCCCUCUUGAGUUUUCGAUUGUAACUCUCGAUUCCAAGUUAGGAUUUUGAUUGAUAUCUUCCCUUUGCCACUGCUGGUUCCUUUUCGCUUGAUCGGAUGCGAGCUUUUCAAGACGUCGGCAUAAGUCAUCGAUAAUCAGGAUGGAAAUUUAUGUCGCCAAACUUGAUGGCAUAAUCUGGAUGAAGGCUCAUGUCUCCAAUCUUGAUGACGUUCGUUUUUCCAACCGGAGAUUUCUUCUCUAGUCCACUUUUUCUCCCUCUUAAUCUCAGUUUCAGAAUUUCUCUGGUUCUUAACUUCAAUCACUGAUUUUCCCUUCACAGCUUUAUCUCCAUGCUUCUUAGCUUGAUACAUCACAGAUUUGUUUUUGUUUUCAACAUUCUUCUUAGUACACCAAGGUUGCAGCGUUUUUUGAUUUGCAAUUUUAGUGUCUCCAGCUCCUUGACAACAUGAUUUCACCUUUUCUUUUGCAGCAACCAUUGUUGCUUCUUCAUUCUCUGGCAUCUUAAGAUGAUAACUCUUUUUGAUCAUUGGCACCUCAGCUAUCUUCCUUCCAGCGGGAUUAUGAAUGCUCCAUUACCUACAUGGAUAGGAACAUUGAAGCUUGUGUUGAGGUUAAUGAACAGUUUCUCCUGUGAGGUCAUGUGAUUUGUGCAUCCACUAUCAAUGAGCCAGACAUUUUCUUCUAGUGUUUCUUCAUCUUCUUGUCUUGCUGUGAACAUAUGUCAUUUAUUAGAUGACCUACCUUGCCACAGCGGAAACAGCUUCUGGUUUCUCUGUUUGUGUUAAAAUUCGAUUUCGGAAAUGUGCAUGGAAGGCUCCUUCUGCUUCUUCUUCAUCCUCAGGAAAGAAUUUCUUCUCAUGUGCCUCAAGAGAUCCAACCAGCUCAGCAUAGAGCCCUCAUCUGAUUUGCUACAGCCUGAAUCCUAUCAGAGAGUGCUCUAGCAGCUUCCAUGCUUGAUGUGCUGAGGUUGCUGAGAGAAUCUUGUCAAACACCACAUCUGCCACUCCAUGUUGAAGAAUUUGAAGAGCAGCAGUAUCCUUAGCUUUGAGUGCCUUCAAGUUUGCAGCUUCUUUGGUCUUGUCUGCUCCUGGAGUCUCUGGUGACUGAGAUCCCGGAUCUGGAACUCCAUCUUUUACUACCUCCCACAGAUCUUUGUUCAUCAGGGUUGUUUUCAUUCUUGCUGCCCAGAACUCAUAGUUCUGUCCAUCAAAAACAGCAACAAGUUGUGAAGAUUGCAAGGCUCCAAGAUCAAGUGUGCUCUGAUACCAUGUUGCAAUUCUCAAAUUUUACUCAGGUUCAAUCGGAGACUCAACCUUCAACAAAUUUCCUUGGCUCUAAAUGAAUAGUUU